RNAcentral lists this ribosomal RNA (481 nucleotides) under uncultured bacterium. Its description in RNAcentral is "partial 16S ribosomal RNA". It matches the Rfam family "Bacterial small subunit ribosomal RNA", at positions 28 to 507 of the family's 1533-position model. The record is from RNAcentral.
GAUGAACGCUGGCGGCGUGCUUAACACAUGCAAGUCGAACGAAGCAUUUAGGACAGAUUACUUCGGUUUGAAGUUCUUUAUGACUGAGUGGCGGACGGGUGAGUAACGCGUGGGUAACCUGCCUUGUACUGGGGGAUAGCAGCUGGAAACGGCUGGUAAUACCGCAUAAGCGCACAAUGUUGCAUGACAUGGUGUGAAAAACUCCGGUGGUAUAAGAUGGACCCGCGUCUGAUUAGCUAGUUGGUGAGAUAACAGCCCACCAAGGCGACGAUCAGUAGCCGACCUGAGAGGGUGACCGGCCACAUUGGGACUGAGACACGGCCCAGACUCCUACGGGAGGCAGCAGUGGGGAAUAUUGCACAAUGGAGGAAACUCUGAUGCAGCGACGCCGCGUGAGUGAAGAAGUAAUUCGUUAUGUAAAGCUCUAUCAGCAGGGAAGAUAGUGAUGGUACCUGACGAAGAAGCUCCGGCUAAAUACGUG